This 492-nucleotide ribosomal RNA is filed under the name uncultured bacterium. Its description in RNAcentral is "partial 16S ribosomal RNA". It matches the Rfam family "Bacterial small subunit ribosomal RNA", at positions 29 to 507 of the family's 1533-position model. The record is from RNAcentral.
AGUGAACGCUGGCGGUAGGCCUAACACAUGCAAGUCGAACGGCAGCACAGUGAGAGCUUGCUCUUACGGGUGGCGAGUGGCGGACGGGUGAGGAAUACAUCGGAAUCUACUUUUUCGUGGGGGAUAACGUAGGGAAACUUACGCUAAUACCGCAUACGACCUACGGGUGAAAGCAGGGGAUCUUCGGACCUUGCGCGAUUGAAUGAGCCGAUGUCGGAUUAGCUAGUUGGCGGGGUAAAGGCCCACCAAGGCGACGAUCCGUAGCUGGUCUGAGAGGAUGAUCAGCCACACUGGAACUGAGACACGGUCCAGACUCCUACGGGAGGCAGCAGUGGGGAAUAUUGGACAAUGGGCGCAAGCCUGAUCCAGCCAUACCGCGUGGGUGAAGAAGGCCUUCGGGUUGUAAGGCCCUUUUGUUGGGAAAGAAAAGCAGCAGGUUAAUACCCCGCUGUUCUGACGGUACCCAAAGAAUAAGCACCGGCUAACUUCGUG